Long non-coding RNA from Gallus gallus (chicken), 341 nucleotides. RefSeq lists it as uncharacterized. The transcript has 2 exons. The record is from RefSeq and is a predicted model, not a curated record. Lineage: Eukaryota; Metazoa; Chordata; Aves; Galliformes; Phasianidae.
GCCACUUGGGGCGUAUCAGCGGGCUCGGCGCCAUGCUGGCCGCACUGCGGGACCCGAGCAGGCCUGUGGCUGCCUGGCAUGGGGAGUGGGCAAGGCUGUCUGAGCAGCAGAGCUGCCACCAGAGCUCUGAAGGAGGUGUGUGUGAAAAGUUCUGGUCGGACAGUUUUCCUCGCACAACUCGGAUCAGGUCAUUAUCAGCCAGCUUGGAACAGAGUCAGCAGAUAAGGAAGCCAGGCUAGAUGACAGUUAUAUCCUGCACUCUACUUGGUGUCAAGCUGUGGAAGGCAUCAUCAUCAAUGCUUUAUACAGUUAAAUAAAAAGACAUAUUGCUUUUAUAGUCA